RNAcentral lists this long non-coding RNA (1003 nucleotides) under Serinus canaria (Common canary). Its description in RNAcentral is "lncRNA (ENSSCAG00000007002.1)". The record is from RNAcentral. Lineage: Eukaryota; Metazoa; Chordata; Aves; Passeriformes; Fringillidae.
CAAGGUUGUCCAAGGGUGGUCCAAGGGUCAUCCAAGGUGGUCCAAGGGUCAUCCAAGGUGGUCCAAGGGUCAUCCAAGGUUGUCCAAGGUGGCCUGAGGGUCAUUCCAGGUGGUCCAAGGUGGUUGAAGGUCCAGCCAAGGUGGCCCAAGCUCCAUCCAGGGUUGCCCAGGGUCCAUCCAAGGUGGCCCCAGGUCCAUCUGAGGUGGCCCCGGGUCCAUCCAAGGUGGCCCAAGGUCCAUCCAAGGUGGUCCAAGAUGGUCCCAGGUCCAUCCGAGGUGGUCCAAGGUCACCCCAGCUCCAUCCCAGGAGAUCCAGAAGCCACCUGAGGCCACCAGAAGCUCCUCAGAUCCCCCAAGACCCCAAAAUCCCCCAAAAAAUCCCAAAAAAUCUCAAAAAAUCCCCCAAAAUCCCCAAAAAAUCCCAAAAAUCCCCCAAAAACCCAAAAAAAAAUCCCCAAAAUGCCCCAAAAAUAAAAAAAAAUUCCCAAAAAAUCCCCAAAAAAUCCCAAAAUCCCCAAAAAAUCCCAAAAUCCCCAAAAAUCCCAAAAUCCCCAAAAAUCCCCGAGGCACUUCCGGGGUGGGGGAGGGGCCUUGGACCUCCCCUCCCCCCCCCAAAUUUGGGCUUUUCCCGCCAAAAAAAAUCGGAAAUUUUGGGGAAGAAUUUUGGGAAUUUUGGGAAAAAAAAAUUAAGAAUUUUGGGGAAAAAUUUGGGAAUUUUGGAAAAAAUUUUAGGAAAAAAAUUGAGAAAAAAUGUGGGAAUUUUGGGAAAAAAUUUGGGAAAAAUUUGGGAAUUUUGAGAAAAAUUUGGGGAAAAAAAUUUGGGAAUUUUGGCAAAAAACUGGGAAAAAAAUUUCGGAAUUUUAGGAAAAAAAUUGGAAAUUUUGGGAAGAAUUUUGGGGAAAAAUUUGGGAAUUUUGGAAAAAAAUUUGUGAAAAAAAUGGGAAUUUUGAGAAAAAAUUUUGGAAAAAAAAUGAAAAUUUUGGGAAAAAAUUGGGAAUUUUAG